This is a long non-coding RNA of Miniopterus natalensis, 160 nucleotides long. RefSeq lists it as uncharacterized. The record is from RefSeq and is a predicted model, not a curated record. NCBI's taxonomy places the organism in Eukaryota, Metazoa, Chordata, Mammalia, Chiroptera, Miniopteridae.
GAGAGCGAACGUGCCCAUCACCCCUAAAGGUUCCUGGGCCUUUGGAAAUGCCUCCCUCUGCUGCUCCCAACGUAGCCAAUCAGAGCUCAUGACACGGUAGGUGUACGGCUCAUCUUUCCGUUUCCUUAACAGUCUCUUGAAGGAACUGGGCUGGAAGGAG